UCCUGGUUAACCCAGGCAGUCUCGUUAGAGUUCCCAGCAUUACCUGAUGGCAACUAACGACAAGGGUUGCGCUCGUUGCGGGACUUAACCCAACACCUCACGGCACGAGCUGACGACAGCCAUGCAGCACCUGUUUAGCAGUCCCGAAGGAAGGUAUCAUUUCUGAUACUGUCUACUAUAUGUCAAGCCUAGGUAAGGUUCUUCGCGUUGCAUCGAAUUAAACCACAUGCUCCACUGCUUGUGCGGGUCCCCGUCAAUUCUUUUGAGUUUCACCCUUGCGAGUGUACUCCCCAGGCGGUAUACUUAUCGCGUUAGCUACGACGCAAUUGGGGUUGAGACCAAUUACAUCAAGUAUACAUAGUUUACGGUUAGGACUAC
Molecule: unclassified non-coding RNA, 378 nt
Filed under: Estrella lausannensis
Lineage: Bacteria; Pseudomonadati; Chlamydiota; Chlamydiia; Parachlamydiales; Candidatus Criblamydiaceae
Description: contains 16S-23S intergenic spacer region
Source: RNAcentral